GACGAACGCUGGCGGCGUGCCUAAUACAUGCAAGUUGAGCGAUGAAGAUUGGUGCUUGCACCAAUUUGAAGAGCAGCGAACGGGUGAGUAACGCGUGGGGAAUCUGCCUUUGAGCGGGGGACAACAUUUGGAAACGAAUGCUAAUACCGCAUAAUAACUUUAAGCAUAAGUUUUAAGUUUGAAAGAUGCAAUUGCAUCACUCAAAGAUGAUCCCGCGUUGUAUUAGCUAGUUGGUGAGGUAAAGGCUCACCAAGGCGAUGAUACAUAGCCGACCUGAGAGGGUGAUCGGCCACAUUGGGACUGAGACACGGCCCAAACUCCUACGGGAGGCAGCAGUAGGGAAUCUUCGGCAAUGGACGAAAGUCUGACCGAGCAACGCCGCGUGAGUGAAGAAGGGUUUCGGAUCGUAAAACUCUGUUGGUAGAGAAGAACGUUGGUGAGAGUGGAAAGCUCAUCAAGUGACGGUAACUACCCAGAAAGGGACGGCUAACUACGUG
RNAcentral lists this ribosomal RNA (497 nucleotides) under uncultured bacterium. Its description in RNAcentral is "partial 16S ribosomal RNA". It matches the Rfam family "Bacterial small subunit ribosomal RNA", at positions 28 to 507 of the family's 1533-position model. The record is from RNAcentral.